GCUCGCGUGGCGGAACUGGUAGACGCAAGGGACUUAAAAUCCCUCGGGGUUCACACCUCAUGUCGGUUCGAUUCCGACCGCGAGCACCA
This 89-nucleotide transfer RNA is filed under the name Pseudomonadota bacterium. Its description in RNAcentral is "Proteobacteria bacterium (freshwater metagenome) tRNA-Leu". It matches the Rfam family "tRNA". Rfam says of the family: Transfer RNA (tRNA) molecules are approximately 80 nucleotides in length. The record is from RNAcentral. Lineage: Bacteria; Pseudomonadati; Pseudomonadota.